RNAcentral lists this ribosomal RNA (273 nucleotides) under uncultured bacterium. Its description in RNAcentral is "partial 16S ribosomal RNA". It matches the Rfam family "Bacterial small subunit ribosomal RNA", at positions 524 to 796 of the family's 1533-position model. The record is from RNAcentral.
UACGAAGGGGGCUAGCGUUGUUCGGAAUUACUGGGCGUAAAGCGCACGUAGGCGGAUAUUUAAGUCAGGGGUGAAAUCCCGCAGCUCAACUGCGGAACUGCCUUUGAUACUGGGUAUCUCGAGUAUGGAAGAGGUGAGUGGAAUUCCGAGUGUAGAGGUGAAAUUCGUAGAUAUUCGGAGGAACACCAGUGGCGAAGGCGGCUCACUGGUCCAUUACUGACGCUGAGAUGCGAAAGCGUGUGGAGCAUACCGCAUCAGAUGGCCGUGUAGUCC